This 440-nucleotide ribosomal RNA is filed under the name uncultured bacterium. RNAcentral describes it as "partial 16S ribosomal RNA". It matches the Rfam family "Bacterial small subunit ribosomal RNA", at positions 338 to 795 of the family's 1533-position model. The record is from RNAcentral.
CCUACGGGUGGCAGCAGUGGGGAAUCUUCGACAAUGGGGGAAACCCUGAUCCAGCGACGCCGCGUGAGUGAAGAAGUAUUUCGGUACGUAAAGCUCUAUCAGCAGGGAAGAAAAUGACGGUACCUGACUAAGAAGCCCCGGCUAACUACGUGCCAGCAGCCGCGGGAAUACGUAGGGGGCAAGCGUUAUCCGGAUUUACUGGGUGUAACGGGAGCGUAGACGGCAGCGCAAGUCUGGAGUGAAAGGCCGGGGUCCAACCCCGGAAGUGCUCUGGAAACUGUGAAGCUGGAGUGCAGGAGAGGAGAGCGGAAUUCCAGGUGUAGCGGUGAAAUGCGUAGAUAUCAGGAGGAACACCAGCGGCGAAGGCGGCUUACUGGACUGUAACUGACGUUGAGGCUCGAAGGCGUGGGGAGCAAACAGGAUUAGAUACCCUUGUAGUC